RNAcentral lists this ribosomal RNA (482 nucleotides) under uncultured bacterium. Its description in RNAcentral is "partial 16S ribosomal RNA". It matches the Rfam family "Bacterial small subunit ribosomal RNA", at positions 30 to 507 of the family's 1533-position model. The record is from RNAcentral.
AUUGAACGCUGGCGGCAUGCCUUACACAUGCAAGUCGAACGGUAACGGGCCUUCGGGUGCCGACGAGUGGCGCACGGGUGAGUAAUACAUCGGAACGUGCCCGAUCGUGGGGGAUAACGAGGCGAAAGCUUUGCUAAUACCGCAUACGAUCUACGGAUGAAAGCAGGGGACCGCAAGGCCUUGCGCGGACGGAGCGGCCGAUGGCAGAUUAGGUAGUUGGUGGGAUAAAAGCUUACCAAGCCGACGAUCUGUAGCUGGUCUGAGAGGAUGAUCAGCCACACUGGGACUGAGACACGGCCCAGACUCCUACGGGAGGCAGCAGUGGGGAAUUUUGGACAAUGGGCGCAAGCCUGAUCCAGCCAUGCCGCGUGCAGGAUGAAGGCCUUCGGGUUGCAAACUGCUUUUGUACGGAACGAAAAGCCUUCUUUUAAUACAGGAGGGUCAUGACGGUACCGUAAGAAUAAGCACCGGCUAACUACGUG